AGUUUGUUAUUGGUAUGAGCUUUCGUGUGCAUGCGUAUCUGAAGAAGUGUGCAUGCACACAAAAGCUCAUACCAAUAACAAACU
Molecule: non-coding RNA, 84 nt
Organism: Podarcis lilfordi (Lilford's wall lizard)
Lineage: Eukaryota; Metazoa; Chordata; Lepidosauria; Squamata; Lacertidae
Source: the annotation of a GenBank genome assembly